RNAcentral lists this ribosomal RNA (468 nucleotides) under uncultured bacterium. Its description in RNAcentral is "partial 16S ribosomal RNA". It matches the Rfam family "Bacterial small subunit ribosomal RNA", at positions 28 to 507 of the family's 1533-position model. The record is from RNAcentral.
GACGAACGCUGGCGGCGUGCUUAACACAUGCAAGUCGAACGGAAAGGCCCUGCCUUUGUUGGGUGGUCGAGUGGCGAACGGGAGAGUAACACGUGAGUAACCUGCCCUUGACUUUGGGAUAACUUCAGGAAACUGGGGCGAAUAUAGGACAGGAGAUUCUGCUGCUUGGGGGUGGCUGGAAAGUUUCGGCGGUCGGGGAUGGACUUGCGGGUUAUCAGCUGGUUGGUGGGGUUGUGGCCUUACAAGGUUUUGAGGGGUAGCCGGCCUGAGAGGGUGACCGGCCACGUUGGGACUGAGAUAGGGCGCAGACUGCUACGGGAGGCAGCAGUGGGGAGUAUUGCACAAUGGGCGGAAGCCUGAUGCAGCAACGCCGCGUGCGGGAUGACGGCCUUCGGGUUGUAAACCGCUUUCGCCUGUGACGAGGCGUGAGUGACGGUAAUGGGUAAAGAAGCACCGGCUAACUACGUG